This 360-nucleotide ribosomal RNA is filed under the name Escherichia coli. RNAcentral's name for it is "partial 23S ribosomal RNA". It matches the Rfam family "Bacterial large subunit ribosomal RNA", at positions 1 to 398 of the family's 2925-position model. The record is from RNAcentral. Lineage: Bacteria; Pseudomonadati; Pseudomonadota; Gammaproteobacteria; Enterobacterales; Enterobacteriaceae.
GUUAAGCGACUAAGCGUACACGGUGGAUGCCCUGGCAGUCAGAGGCGAUGAAGGACGUGCUAAUCUGCGAUAAGCGUCGGUAAGGUGAUAUGAACCGUUAUAACCGGCGAUUUCCGAAUGGGGAAACCCAGUGUGUUUCGACACACUAUCAUUAACUGAAUCCAUAGGUUAAUGAGGCGAACCGGGGGAACUGAAACAUCUAAGUACCCCGAGGAAAAGAAAUCAACCGAGAUUCCCCCAGUAGCGGCGAGCGAACGGGGAGGAGCCCAGAGCCUGAAUCAGUGUGUGUGUUAGUGGAAGCGUCUGGAAAGGCGCGCGAUACAGGGUGACAGCCCCGUACACAAAAAUGCACAUGCUGUG